This is a long non-coding RNA of Patiria miniata (bat star), 1190 nucleotides long. RefSeq lists it as uncharacterized. NCBI's taxonomy places the organism in Eukaryota, Metazoa, Echinodermata, Asteroidea, Valvatida, Asterinidae. The transcript has 3 exons. The record is from RefSeq and is a predicted model, not a curated record.
UCACGUGAGAGUUAAAUCAAACGCAGUCGAGUCAGUCGCGCUUGCACAUAUAUAAAAAAUAAAUAUUUGCUAUAUAUGGGAGAUACCGUAAUCAUUGGGGAAAUCCAGCGUGGUGAAAUCACACGCUAGGUGGUACGGUCUGGGAUUGAUCGGACAAUCGCACAGUCUAUUAGGCUGACUCGUAAAUUGACUCUGAAAACCACGAGCAGGAAAACAGAAGAGCGCAUAAACCCGCAGCAACAACAGAGCUAUAUGGGCUUAUAACUUUCGCAAUCAUCCUGCCUGCCUACCAGAGAACCUGAAGUCAAGAGGGACACCGAAAACAGUUUGAUUUAUAAACACAGACAUCAUGGUGAUCAUCACAGCGUUAGUCGUUGGAGCAGCCAGUCUAGGCAUCAUGACCUACGGUCCGGCCUUACUGGGGUUCAAGUCAGCAGGGAUAGCAGCCGGCUCAGUGGCUGCCUCCAUGAUGUCUCAAUCGGCCGUGGCAGCCGGUGGCGGUGUAGCAGCCGGAGGAGUAGUGGCUACGCUUCAGUCCGUAGGAGCAGCAGGCUUGGGUGCUGCUGGCUACGCCGCGUCGGGAGCCAUCGGUGCUGUGUCCGGUUAUCUCUUUGGCCGCAAGUGAUGUGGGAAUCUACGAAACCAAAUAAUGCUUCAAUCGAAAUUCACCAGUCACCUCGCCAGACAAUUAUCGAAAUUAUCACUCAUUGCGGAAAUACUUGACAAGUAGUUAAAGGGUGUGCAAAACUGUGAAUCCAUCUUAUUACUAAUCUACAAUGGUUAUUUACAAAACAUCUCGCGAGACAACUCGAGUUUAACUUCCUUUAAUGAUGUUACAGCCAAUAUGUGAAAUGAAUUAGGAAAAAUCACACUAUUGUUGAAAUCAGCUAGUACAUGUGAAACCUUUACUAAGUAGACAACAUUUGGACUAGAGUUAUUAGGGAUCUAUACGACCUUAAUUCGGGGAUUACAUACUUCUUUCCAGUUGGUAGAUCAUCAUCAUUCGAAGAUCGUGAAGAAUCCCAUGGUAUCUAUCAGUUACCUUGUCUUUUGAUUCUAAACCAGAUUACAAAGUCAGUACUUGCAAGUUAUUUAAGACUAAAAUAACCAGAAAAUAAAAAUCUAAAAUUUUUGAAAACUGAAAAUAAGUCAUUCCCCUUGUUUCAAUUAAUUUACUUUACGUCUGAAGA